UCUACCGAAUGUCACUAUCCCUCAUUUAAAUUUCGAUAUUAUUUGGAUAUAUAAGCAAAUCAAUUUAAAGAGCAUAACCAAGAUUUCAUUCAGACAUUUCAUCAUGAAGUCGUGCUUCGACAAAUUUCAUUUACCAUUUGCCAUUUUGAAGUGAACAGAACUGCAUUACCUGAAAAAUGGCCAUCCUUAAGCGCCGGAUCACAAACGCAAAACAAAAUUUGUGACGAUGAUCAUCAAAUGGAAGUAGCACAAGAAAAUGUAUGGAUAUCCCGAAAGGCUAUUUAGCGAUUUAUGUUGGUGAGAAAGAGAAAAGGUGAUUUCUGGUUCCUAUAUCAUUGUAAAGCCAACCUAUUUUUCAAGAAUUACUAGAUCGGGCAGAGGAAGAAUUUGGGUAUGUUCACCCAAUGGGUGGCCUCACAAUCAAUGUCGUGAAUAUAUUUUCACUGAUCUUGCAUCUCGUAUUGGUGUAUUAUGACCGGCAUUCCUUGCUAUUUUGUAUUAUAACCAACUAUUAGCCGAUAAUUCUAGAUACAAUAUCAAAGAUAUGUGUAAAUUUUAAAUUUACCAAUUUUAUAUAUUUGUAUAUAUACCUUAAUAAUGAAAUUAUACGCAUUGUGGGAAAUUCGUUUUAUAUGGUAUCAGCUGGGAAAACAUAACCCUAGCCAUAUCCUUCUCCAAUCCUUCUUCUUUCUCAAGUCUUUCAUGGUUCCUCCUCAUCAGACCUCAAUACAAAAUUUCAACUUUUCACCAUCAAAUUAACCUCCUCCAAUUUCCUUCUCUGGAAUAAUCAAAUACGUCAUGUCUUAUCUUAUCAAAAUCUCCUGGGACAAUUCGAUGGUUCUGUUCCUUCACCUCCAACAACCAUCGAAUAUGACAGAAAAACCGCACGAAAUCCAGCGUACGAAACCUGGUAUAAUGCCGACCGAAAGGCCCUUCUCAUCAUCCAAUCUUCUUUAUCGGAAGAGACUAUGGCAAAAACUCCAGGCUAUGCUAUACUACUACUCAAGCGAUUUGGAGGGCUCUAGAAAGUGCUUACUCUCAUGAUUCCAGAGAAUGGAUACAAACCUUUUAGAAUGGAUAAAAACUCUUUUAGACUCUCUUCGCCAGAUUCAAAAAGGAGCCUCCUCUGUCACCUGUCACCUGAGUAUUGGCAGAAAGUUCAAGGUAACCUGUGAUCCCAUUGAUGACUCUGAUCAAGCUCACUAUUUGUUAUGUAGUCUUGGUGCUGCAUAUGAAUCAUUCUCCACUUCUCAUAGUGUUGUUACCCCUUACCCAACCUUUCGUGUACUUCUGUCGCAAGAAGAAUGUCACAAACUAUUUAUGAGCUCUCUAUAUGGUCCUGUUUCACCCCAGCCGCUUUCAAUGCUGAGUCUCACCAUGUUUCAUCUCACCAACUACCUCGAGGGGCACCUCAAAGCGAGGACGAGUCCGCUUAAACUAUUAAGGGGGAUGAGAAUGUGGCAAGAGACCACCCCAUUUCUAGCUUUGAAGAAAGAACGGGCACUAUGCCUCAACGUGUCCAGAUGUCUCCACUUAUCAACAAGGUUAAAACGCUUCAAACCGAUGUUCAUACCGAGUUUCUCAAUCAUAAAGUCCAUGAAACACCGCUUCAUAAUGACACUCACCACCAAAUCUCAUGUCCCUAUACAUCUCAACAAAAAGGUAGAGCUAAUAUACACAUGGUCAGUUCAUCGAAUCUGAUUUAGCCAUGCUAUGUAAUGCACAGUUCCUGCAUCCUAUUGGGUGCACGCUUUUACCUCGGCUUUGUAUGUAACAUCCGAAAUUCCCACGCUAAUUUUUUUCAUCUUUUAAAUAACAUAACAUCCAUUUUAAUAUUAUGACAUUUAGGGAAAACUGUUUGUUAAUAAAUCAUUAUUCAGAAAUCAGAGUUAUAAUGAAAACAAUGCAAAAUACCAAUUCAUAAAACUGUUAAUGUGUAUGUAUAGUCCCACCUUCUCAAUCCAGUAAGUACCUAUGAAAUAUUUAAUCCAAAACUAUAAGCACAAAUUUUAGUGAGUUCCCCAAAAUGUCAUAUAUAGCACAACACAAUAAUCAACUAUGGGUUAUCAGCAGCCCUGGAACUAUCAACCGUCUUGAAUAUCACAUACAACACACAAUAUAAACAACUAUGUGUUAUCAGCAACCUCAGGGACUGUCAAUACUCUUAGUGGGAUAACAGCAUGCCCUGUGACUUAACAACACACAUCACAUGUUAUCUACAACCCUAGGGACUAUCAGAAGUCCCAUGGACUCAUAGCAAUCCAUGAGUUAUCAACAACUUAGUUUACCUAUAAUAACAAUUAACAAAUAAGACCCAACUGGUCAGCAAGUAUGUACUACCACACAAACAGAUAUAGUGAGAAGACUCACCUGAACAAACAACUGAAAGCCACUACUUUAUUUCCCACUUAAUCAGCCACACAAACCACCUAAACAAAUCAUAAGCUAAACCUCAAACUAUAUCUCAACACCUCUCCAAGUUUUACCAAAACUCAAAUCGGUCAAAAAGUCAACGGUCAACAGUCAAGUUCAAAGUUAACAUCUAAAGUUAACAAUCAACAUCACUAACAACUGGCUCUCACAUCUUCACCAGCCUAUGGUCACAUCGUGGUCAAAAACUCAUCUCCAAUCCAAAACUCAAUAUUCGAACAAUUCAUCUGCGAUCAAAUCUAUUGUCAUGUCGUGUUGGCCAUGCCCCCACAUCGUAAUAGAGUCCGUCCAAAGCAAUUGGUGUCUUAACCGCUUCAAUCGGUUGUAGGCUUAAGAUCUAGAUCUCUUGUUUUACCCUAGAUCUUGAUUCACAUUAUUACACAUCUGAUUCUAUAUUCGCUUCUGUGAACUCUUGAGAAUAUGAAUCACAAAGAUCCUCAUACUCUGUGUUUCAAUCUUUCCAGUAGUAUCGGAUCUACUACUAGGAUCCUAAUCCUUUUUCCACAAGAUUAUGAAUUCUGGGCACUGCAGUUCGAAUACUAUGUUCUCGGUAUUGAAGAUCAUGUCACCAUAAUAUGAGAAGCCAUGACGCAACAGACAUUCGCUCACAUGGCUACAAGGAAAUUCAUCAAAAGUAAAGUUGAAUACAAUACAAUUCUUGUUGAAAAUAAUGAUAUUCCUCAAGAUGAAAAAGAUAAGAUGUUGAGCAACAUCAAGGUGAUGAGAAUAAUAAGGUUUUCUCUUCCUCCAGACACCUUUCAUUUGGUGAGUGCAUGCGAGAUUGCGAAGGAGAUAUGGGACAAGUUAAAAGAGCUUUAUUGAAGCAACGUUGAUUAGUAACAUUAUGUGCAAACAUUGAUUCUGUCUAAGUUUGGAGCCUUUGUUUAAAAGUCUGAUGAAAAACUCGACCACACUUUCAACCGUUUUAAUCAUCUUUUGAGUAGGAUGCUUAAGCAUAAUCUAAGGCGUGAAGUAAUAAAACAAAAAGUUAUGUUCUUGAAUGGGUUAAGGUCUGAAUGGAAAGCAAUUGUGUCUAUAGUGAAUGCUCAUGAACAGUAUAAGAGUUACUCUCUGGCAAAGCUUGUGGGAAUUCUUAUAUCCAUGAAGAUAAGGUUACGAAGGAUAUGAAGCUUGUUUCUAGUAUGGGAUCAUUGGCCUUGGUUGCGAAAGGCAAAAAGGCAGCUGAAGAAGGUUUUGAAUCUGACUUUUCAAACAGUGAACUUACCAAGGAGAAAUAUUCUUUAAUGGUAGUUAAUCCCAAAAAGUUCACUAAAAAGAAUUUUGGUCGAUUCAAGAACAGGAACAGGCAGGGAAACUUCAAUUGGGAAAAGUCAAGAGAAGAGAGAUUCAAGAACUCUCAAAAGGAAGGGGAUAAGUAGGAAAAGAAGCUGUUAGGGGAUUCAGGCUAUGACUGCAAUUACUGUUUUUAACUUUAAAAAAAGGUCUCCAUGUUUUUAAAAGUUUACGGAAAUCGUCCCUGGUUUUUCAAAGUCAACAUAAAUUGUGUAAUACAGGAUCAUUAUUUUAUUCAUUUAGAAUAAAAAUAAUUGCAAGAUGUCAUCUUUGAUAAAGGUAAUAAAUUGAAAAAAUAAACGAAAAUGGUCCGUGUUUUAAUAUGAAAUAAUUGCAAAUACAUGAAUUUUCCCCAUGAUACUAACUUUACAAAAAAAAUCCUUGUUUUUAAAAUUUUACCGAAAUGGACCCUAUUUGUUAAGAACUAACAGAAAGUGUCCAUAUGCAUAAUUAUAAAGUAAACAACAAUGUAAUUUGUAGUGCUUGUCUAAUAUAACAUCUUUACAUUUUGAAUAAAACUAAUUGUAAUAUGCUAUAUUUGACAAAGGUAAAAAAAUAAUGAACUUGAAAGAUUGAAUAUUUAAGUAUGACACUACAAUGCACAAAGCAAUGAAAAUAUAGCAUACUACACAUAAUGGGGGCAUGAUCGAAACACAAAACAAGAUGAA
Molecule: non-coding RNA, 4391 nt
Organism: Lactuca sativa (garden lettuce)
Lineage: Eukaryota; Viridiplantae; Streptophyta; Magnoliopsida; Asterales; Asteraceae
Source: RefSeq, a predicted model, not a curated record